RNAcentral lists this ribosomal RNA (542 nucleotides) under uncultured bacterium. Its description in RNAcentral is "bacterial SSU rRNA". It matches the Rfam family "Bacterial small subunit ribosomal RNA", at positions 772 to 1304 of the family's 1533-position model. The record is from RNAcentral.
ACGUAAUAGAUACCCAGGUAGUCCACGCCCUAAACGAUGUCUACUAGUUGUUGGUGGAGUAAAAUCCAUGAGUAAACGCAGCUAAACGCGUGAAGUAGACCGCUUGGGGAGUACGGUCGCAAGAUUAAAACUCAAAGGAAUUGACGGGGGCCCGGCACAAGCGGUGGAUUAUGUGGAUUAAAUUCGAUGCAACGCGAAAAACCUUAACCUUGGCCUUGUACAUGCCACUAACGAAGCAGAGAUGCAUUAGGUGCCCGUAACGGGAAAGUGGACACAGGUGCUGCAUGGCUGUCGUCAGCUCGUGUCGUGAGAUGUUGGGUUAAGUCCCGCAACGAGCGCAACCCUUGCCAUUAAUUGCCAUCAUUUAGUUGGGCACUUUAAUGGGACUGCCGGUGACAAACCGGAGGAAGGUGGGGAUGACGUCAAGUCCUCAUGGCCCUUAUGGCCAGGGCUUCACACGUAAUACAAUGGUCGGUACAGAGAGUUGCCAACCCGCGAGGGGUAGCUAAUCUCAGAAAGCCGAUCGUAGUCCGGAUUGUUCU